RNAcentral lists this long non-coding RNA (1074 nucleotides) under Felis catus (domestic cat). RNAcentral describes it as "lncRNA (ENSFCAG00000053073.1)". Lineage: Eukaryota; Metazoa; Chordata; Mammalia; Carnivora; Felidae. The record is from RNAcentral.
CUAACUUUAGAGAACAAAGUUAUGGUUACCAGAGGGGAGGUUGGUGGGGGGGAUGGGAGAAAUAGGUAAUGGGGAUUAAAGAGUACACUUACCCUGAUGAGCCCUGAGUAAUGUACAAUACUGUUGAAUCCUAAUACAUGCACCCGAACCGAACAUAACACUGUAUAUUAACUAUACUAGAAUUGCAACACUUAAGAAAAUAAUUUAUUUUGCUGAACCACACCUUUAUUAUAAUACCACAUUGGAUUAUGAUUUUGACUUUUUUGACAUGAACUAUACUUUUAUAAAAAAUAUUGUUUCUAUAUCAAAUUUAAUUUUCUUUGUCCCUCUUCUAGGUAAAGAGCCGAUUAUAUGAAGGGACCACAGUAAUGCCAAAAUGUCAUAUGUGACCACAGUGCCAGAUCAUGUGCCUUUGCUGUUGACACAAUGGGUUCACCUCUCCCUUAAUGAAGUUCGUACCAGCGAAGUGAAAUUGAAGCCUGAAGAACAGGAAGUGAGAUCGAGGUCUGAAGAUACAGCCUGUGUAGACAGAAAAUGCUCAGCUUAAGGUACACAAGAAUCAGGUAAAAAAAUUUACCAUCAACUGUUAUAUAAAUCAGAAAUGAACACCAUUACUUCCUUUUUAAGUUUCUCUUCUUUAACUGUGGUAAAAUACAUGCAUUAGAAAGUUUCCCAGCAUAAACUUUUAAGUAUACAUUUUAGGAGUGGUAAGUACAUUCACGUUCUUCUAUAGUCAUUCCACCUUUCUCAAAUCUGUCUUAAAGUCAGGGGAUACGAGUGCACGCAUCAAGGAUUCGAUGCAGAGAGUCUUGACGUCUCAUAAACCUGGAAGAGGUGUUGUUUAGAGGGAAGAAAACCGCAGUUGGUAGAAUGAGUUUGCUCUGGGAAGGUAAAAAGUGGCUUCCUGCCUUGGGAAUCCUGUUCUUUCUCCUCUCCCCGCUCAUUGCCACACUCGUGGGAACAGGUGUGCAUCCUCAAGUACACUGUUUUAUGCUUGACAGGCAGCAAAAGAGAACUGGGGGACAACUGUGAGGCACCUAGGUGUGGGAAAGGGGCAAAGGACCCCAAAUGGGA